This 258-nucleotide small nuclear RNA is filed under the name Erinaceus europaeus (western European hedgehog). Its description in RNAcentral is "7SK RNA". It matches the Rfam family "7SK RNA". From Rfam's summary of the family: 7SK was discovered as an abundant small nuclear RNA in the mid-70s but a possible function has only recently been suggested. Two independent studies have found that 7SK RNA binds the CDK9/cyclin T complex (known as elongation factor P-TEFb). P-TEFb activates transcription by phosphorylating the C-terminal domain of RNA polymerase II. Lineage: Eukaryota; Metazoa; Chordata; Mammalia; Eulipotyphla; Erinaceidae. The record is from Rfam by way of RNAcentral.
GAAUGUGAGGGCAAUCUGGCUGUGAUAUCCAUCACUUCAUUGAUCACCAGGGUUAAUUUGGCUGAUCUGGCUGGAUAAGUGCUUCUCUCUAAGCAGCAUGCUCAGGUUGAGUGGGAAGGCCUUCCCAGAAUACAGACUGACCAGUCUUCCCUUGAGGGUACACUCCCCUGCUAGAACCCAAACAAGUUCUCAAAAGUCUGAAGAAUUAUAUAAUGCAUAUACCAUUCAAAUGAUGUGAUGAAAUUUAUAGCAUUGAUU